GGCUGAAAGAGAUGGGUCCCAGAGCAGGGAGAGCUCAGCUGCAGUGUGCACGGCCCAAAGAAGUGACUGCCCAACACUCGCAACGUUUCAUAUUUCUCCUCUGCGCCUCGGUUGUGCCGUUUGAAAGGCCGAGGCUCGACUCUGAGCUUGCCAUCUUUCUGCCCAUAGAGUCCUGCUUCUGGGCCUGCUGACAGUCGGCUAUUGAAGGUGGGACCAGCAGAGGAACUGAAAGGCAGAAGCAGCAGCAGCCUUGAGACCAGUGAGAGCUCGGUUGGAGUGACAGCUCCUUCUGUUGAUGACUGAACCUCCAGUACUUCAGAUGGACCAACAGUCGGGGACAAUGACCCGCUUUUCUCAAUCAUAAGGUUUACGAAGGAAGAAGGAGGUGGAGAUGGACGGAGAGGACGUCUUGGAGCCAGCGAUCCACCUGCAGUAGCUUACGACUCUGACUGCACAGCAGGAGGAGACGGUGACGGUGCUGAACUUCACACCUAACAUUCAGAUUGAAAACAAAACAGGUUUGCCGACGUUGUUGGUGAAUAUGCCCCCAUUUGUGAUUUAAAGUCAUGCAUUUAUGCACAUCAGUGCAUCAGUUCUUCACAGGAAGUGAACUGGUGGGGUCACUCUGGGAGCCACGCAGGCCCCACACAAUGCCAUGGCAGCAGCAUGGCUUUCACUGGGCCUCGCGCUGCUGCCUUUACGAGAGCCAGACAAACGGAUCCCCUUCACGCCGCAAAGCCAUCAACAAGGGGAACAAAGAGGGCAGGUGCUGAGGACUGCAUUGAGUGCUCACCUGCACCCAGCAGGGGAAUAUAGUGCGUCCAGCCAUGCCAAGAGGCCCUCCACAUUCACAUCCCCACUCACCAGGCACUAAUGGGCUAAGAUGGCAAGCCAAAGAGAAAUUAUUUCUCUUUAUUAUAGGCUGAAGCAAAUCAGCAGCUGAUGGUGUUGAAUAUUACAGUGCAUGUACCGUAUGCACUGUUCAGUCCAAACAAACUUGGCUUCUGCAAUAUCUAAAGCAGGCCGUGACAGAAUGCUGCUAACUGGGCAUCAACGUUUAAUCGGUAACAGAAGUGAGUAUGAGGGAGCUGACUCUUGGAUCUGCUUUUCAGAUUUUUUUGUACUGACUUGAAUUUUAAAUAGAAAGAUGUGUUGCUGGCUUGCUGAAGUCCUUACACCCCUGCAGUAUUUUACAUUUGAUCACAUUGCGACCUCAAAGAAUAUAUUUGAUUGGAAUCUUGUGUCCAGGCCAAAACAAGGAAGCAGAAAGUUGGAAAGUGGAUGGAAAAUAUUUUUUCUAUUGCAUACAUUUAUUUCAAAGACUGCCUUUUUUUUCUUGUAUUCUGUUACUGUAUUUUAGUGUUACUCUCUAGUCUUUAUUUCAGUAGCUCUUCUUUUGUCCUUUGUUUCCAUUAACCAAAUAAAUGUGAAA
Molecule: long non-coding RNA, 1432 nt
Organism: Poecilia latipinna (sailfin molly)
Lineage: Eukaryota; Metazoa; Chordata; Actinopteri; Cyprinodontiformes; Poeciliidae
Exons: 5
Source: RefSeq, a predicted model, not a curated record